GAAAUGCGAUAAGUAGUGUGAAUUGCAGAAUUCAGUGAAUCAUCGAAUCUUUGAACGCACAUUGCGCCCCUCGGUAUUCCGUGGGGCAUGCCUGUUCGAGCGUCAUCUACACCCUCAAGCUCUGCUUGGUGUUGGGCGUCUGUCCCGCCUCCGCGCGCGGACUCGCCCCAAAUGCAUUGGCAGCGGUUCCUUGCCCCCCUCUUUGCGCAGCACAUUGCCAUUCGAGGCGGCGGCGGCCCGCGUCCAACAAGCUCAACCCCCCCGUCUUGGACCUCGGAUCAGGUAGGGAUACCCGCUGAACUUAAGC
RNAcentral lists this unclassified non-coding RNA (307 nucleotides) under plant metagenome. Its description in RNAcentral is "partial contains 5.8S ribosomal RNA, internal transcribed spacer 2, and large subunit ribosomal RNA". The stretch from base 1 to 105 matches the Rfam family "5.8S ribosomal RNA", at positions 50 to 154 of the family's 154-position model. The record is from RNAcentral.